RNAcentral lists this transfer RNA (66 nucleotides) under Diamesa sp. 2 XL. RNAcentral describes it as "tRNA-Cys". Lineage: Eukaryota; Metazoa; Arthropoda; Insecta; Diptera; Chironomidae. The record is from RNAcentral. RNAcentral also lists the same sequence under 1 other name.
GGCUUUAUAUUCAAUAAUGAUAUUAGACUGCAAUUCUAAAGGAGUAAAUAAUUUUUACUAAGGCUU